This 776-nucleotide ribosomal RNA is filed under the name uncultured Neocallimastigales. Its description in RNAcentral is "partial large subunit ribosomal RNA". It matches the Rfam family "Eukaryotic large subunit ribosomal RNA", at positions 24 to 649 of the family's 3401-position model. Lineage: Eukaryota; Fungi; Neocallimastigomycota; Neocallimastigomycetes; Neocallimastigales. The record is from RNAcentral.
UAUGUGAUCGUCUCUCGCAUAUCAAUAAGCGGAGGAAAAGAAACUAACAAGGAUUCCCCUAGUAACGGCGAGUGAAGCGGGAAGAGCUCAAAUUUGAAAUCUUAAAGGGUUUCCCUUUACGAAUUGUAGUUUAAAGAAGUGUUUUCUGUUGAGGUUUUGGUAAAAGUUCUUUGGAAUAGGACAUCAUAGAGGGUGAGAAUCCCGUAUUUGACCUUUACUUUCAACUUUGUGAUACACUUUCAAAGAGUCGGAUUGUUUGGGAAUGCAGUCCAAAAUGGGUGGUAAAUUUCAUCUAAAGCUAAAUAUUGGCGAGAGACCGAUAGCGAACAAGUACCGUGAGGGAAAGAUGAAAAGAACUUUGAAAAGAGAGUUAAACAGUACGUGAAAUUGUCAAAAGGGAAGCGUUUGACACCAGUGUUGUUUUUCUGAAAAUCAAUUAAAGAACUGUUUAUGCUAAGCUGUUUAGACUUUAUCAGCUAUCUGUUUAGUUUUGAGCUUUUCUUUAAUGCACUUUUCAGUUAACAAGUCAACAUCAAUUUCUUUUGCUAGUAAAAAAGCUUGAGGAAGGUGGCUUGAGAUUCGUCUUAAGUGUUUAUAGCCUCUUGCCUAUGCAGUCGGAGAGAUUGAGGUCUGCAGCGUAGAUCCUUCGGGGCUAAAUGCAUUUGUGCUAAGUUAUAACUAUUUUAUAGACAACUUGUUGACUAUGAUUUGUCUUGUAGCUUACUCGCUUAUGUUAUUUUACCUACGCUUAGGAUGUUGAGUAGCGACAUACGCAC